GGCUCAGAACGAACGCUGGCGGCGCGUUUAAGCAUGCAAGUCGAGCGGCAAGGGCCUUCGGGCCCCUAGAGCGGCGGACGGGUGAGUAACACGUGGACAAUCUGCCCCCCGGCCCGGGAUAGCCCAGGGAAACCUGGAUUAAUACCGGAUGAGACGGGACCCGCGAUGGCGGGACCCGGGAAAGGCGCUGCGGCGCCGCCGGGGGAUGAGUCUGCGUCCCAUUAGCUAGACGACGGGGUAACGGCCCACCGUGGCGACGAUGGGUAGCCGGCCUGAGAGGGUGGACGGCCACAUUGGAACUGAGACACGGUCCAGACUCCUACGGGAGGCAGCAGCUAAGAAUCUUCCGCAAUGGGCGAAAGCCUGACGGAGCGACGCCCGCGUGAACGAAGAAGGCCGUGAGGUUGUAAAGUUCUUUUCGGGAGGGGGAACAACCGUGGCAGGGAAUGGCCGCGGGAUGACGUGAAUCCCGGAAUAAGCCCCGGCUAACUACGUGCCAGCAGCGGC
RNAcentral lists this ribosomal RNA (507 nucleotides) under uncultured bacterium. Its description in RNAcentral is "bacterial SSU rRNA". It matches the Rfam family "Bacterial small subunit ribosomal RNA", at positions 21 to 518 of the family's 1533-position model. The record is from RNAcentral.